UUUCAAUGGACCCUUGCUGUUUUCUGUUGCAAUAAAAAGCCUAGGCUAUGACAACAGCUUCAACAGGUUUGGCUAGCUGUAUGCAAAAUAAGUCAUGCCUUUUUCCCCUGUUUGCUAUUUCCCAGUCCUCUAACUGAAGUGUUGUAGGCAACAACACAGAAGGUAAAAGAAACAAUGUGGUUUAAGUCAAGGUGAAAAUAGAUAUGAAAAAUAGAUAAGUAAUAUAGUUUCUUUUCUUCACUUUAUGUGUGAUAACUUGAGAAAUAUGUUGUCAAUACUAUUAAAAUAAGAAAAAAACGUAAUGGUACUUAGGAGAUUACAGUUUUUGCAUAAAUACUAUAUUGGGCUUUAUUAAAGUUUAUGAAAAUAGAAUGCAUGUAUAUGCAUUUUAUAUUUAUGCACAUAAAUGGAACAUUUUAAAAUCUUUGAACAGAUAUUGAAGUAUUUUCUAUCCUGUGGCGCCAUCGUGUGGACAACAUUAGCAUUGUGGCCUUCAUUUCUGAACAACAUCAUUACGAAAGGGGCCAAUAUUUUAUGAAUGAUUACAAAUAUUUAAUGAUUAGUUCACUGAUAAUAUACCCACAUUAAAAUCGAAUUUACUGAUACUGUAUCUUAUUUCAUGCUUUAAGAGUUUAUUUUUCAACUU
Molecule: long non-coding RNA, 646 nt
Organism: Cyprinus carpio carpio
Lineage: Eukaryota; Metazoa; Chordata; Actinopteri; Cypriniformes; Cyprinidae
Source: Ensembl